GUGGGGAAUCUUCCACAAUGGACGAAAGUCUGAUGGAGCAACGCCGCGUGAGUGAAGAAGGUCUUCGGAUCGUAAAGCUCUGUUGUCAGGGACGAAUGUUGAGACUGUGAAUAAUGGUUUCAAAUGACGGUACCUGACGAGGAAGCCACGGCUAACUACGUGCCAGCAGCCGCGGUAAUACGUAGGCGGCGAGCGUUGUCCGGAAUUAUUGGGCGUAAAGGGAGCGCAGGUGGGAAAGUAAGUCUGUCUUAAAAGUGCGGGGCUCAACCCCGUGAGGGGACAGAAACUAUUUUUCUUGAGUGCAGGAGAGGAAAGCGGAAUUCCUAGUGUAGCGGUGAAAUGCGUAGAUAUUAGGAGGAACACCAGUGGCGAAGGCGGCUUUCUGGACUGUAACUGACACUGAGGCUCGAAAGCCAGGGGAGCGAACGGGAUUAGAAACCCUGGUAGUCC
Molecule: ribosomal RNA, 450 nt
Filed under: uncultured bacterium
Lineage: Bacteria
Description: partial 16S ribosomal RNA
Rfam family: Bacterial small subunit ribosomal RNA
Source: RNAcentral